Molecule: long non-coding RNA, 707 nt
Organism: Oncorhynchus gorbuscha (pink salmon)
Lineage: Eukaryota; Metazoa; Chordata; Actinopteri; Salmoniformes; Salmonidae
Exons: 3
Source: RefSeq, a predicted model, not a curated record
GUUAUAGGUACCUUGGUUGGCGAGUUAGUUAUAGGUACCUUGGUUGGCGAGUUAGUUACGUACCUUGGUUGGCUAGCUAGUUAUAGGCACCAUGGUUGGCUAGCUAGUUAUAGGUACCAUGGUUGGCUGGCUAGUUAUAGGUACCUUGGUUGGCUAGCUAGUUAGGUACCAUGGCUGGCUAGCUAGUUAGGUACCAUGGUUGGCUAGCUAGUUAUAGGUACCUUGGUUGGCGAGUUAGUUAGGUACCUUGGUUGGCUAGCUAGUUAUAGGUACCUUGGUUGGCUAGCUAGUUAUAGGUACCAUGGUUGGCUAGCUAGUUAUAGGUACCAUGGUUGGCUAGCUAGUUAUAGGUACCUUGGUUGGCUAGCUAGUUAUAGGUACCAUGGUUGGCUGGCUAGUAAGUUAGGUACCUUGGUUGGCUAGUUGGCUACAUUAGCUAAGGUUGGCUAGUUAGUUAUGUACCUUGGUUGGCUAGUUAGUUAUGUACCUUGGUUGGCUAGUAAGUUAGGUACCAUGGUUGGCUAGUUAGUUAUGUACCUUGGUUGGCUAGUUAGUUAGGUACCUUGGUUGGCUAGCUAGUUAUAGGUACCAUGGUUGCCUAGCUAGUUAUAGGUACCAUGGUUGGCUGGCUAGUAAGUUAGGUACCUUGGUUGGCUAGCUAGUUAUAGGUACCAUGGUUGGCUAGUAAGUUAGGUACCUUGGUUGGC